Long non-coding RNA from Bos taurus (domestic cattle), 560 nucleotides. NCBI's taxonomy places the organism in Eukaryota, Metazoa, Chordata, Mammalia, Artiodactyla, Bovidae. The record is from Ensembl.
UCCAUGGACAGAGGAACCUGGUGGACCACAGUCCAUGGGGGUCACAAAGAGCCAGACACGACUGAGCAACUAACACAGGAGGUGCUCAGCACACUGCUUCUCUGUAUGUGCCAGGCAUCCAGGCACGGCUGUCUGAAGUCCUUUUCAAGCAUCAGUCCAUUGAAUUCUCACAACAACAAGAGAAGAGUGAUGCUGGUGAGUUGUAACCCUGAAAGGAGAGCACCUCUACCCUUGCUGUGCUGGGUCUUCAUGGUGGCAUGUGGGAUCUUAGUUCCUGGACCAGGAUUCGAAUCUGCAUCCCCUGCAUUGGAAGGUGGAUUUUUAACCACUGGACCACCAGUAAGGUCCCCCAGGGUCUGUUUAUCACCUGGUUGUCUGCUACCAAAUGUUCCCUCCCUGCUCCUUCCUGAUCUGUUGCCCUGUUCCUAUGACGCCCCAGUGCCUCCCCAGCUAUUCUCCAGGACCCCCAGCCUUCAAGACCCUUCGGGAGCCUUUGGGUCUCAUGAAGUCUUCCUGGACUACUUAAGCCCCCUAGUACUUCAGCUUUCACACCUGUGAAG